Molecule: unclassified non-coding RNA, 291 nt
Filed under: Hevea brasiliensis (rubber tree)
Lineage: Eukaryota; Viridiplantae; Streptophyta; Magnoliopsida; Malpighiales; Euphorbiaceae
Source: RNAcentral
AAAAAUUACUUAAAAUACUGGUCCAAUAUUUUGAUGUGUGUUAUUGACAAUUUAACCUUUAUACAGUUUGCCUCAACAUGUAAGUCCCUUUAUAAGACAGAUUCUACAAAUCACCAAACUACAACAAAAUCUACAUUUCCUCAUUAACAUAUACUAAUACUACAACAAUUUACAAAGUUCAACUCGUCUUGAAGGAGCGUAUUUCGUAUUUUCCUUCUCAUAAGUAUGUGUAUAUGUAGGGCCAAAGUGUAUUGGCUAGUCGAUGAUUGAUGAGCAGAAUAUCAGAAAAUU